AUUGAACGCUGGCGGCAGGCCUAACACAUGCAAGUCGAGCGGAUGAAGGGAGCUUGCUCCUGGAUUCAGCGGCGGACGGGUGAGUAAGCCCAGGAAACCGCCCGGUUGUUGGGGGUUACGUUCGGGAACCGGCGCCUAUUCCGCAAAAGUCCCGGGGGAAGAAGGGGGGGAAUCUUCGACCCUACCGCUAUCGAUUAGGCCUAGGUCGGAUUAGCUAGUUGGUGGGGUAAAGGCCUACCAAGGCGACGAUCCGUAACUGGUCUGAGAGGAUGAUCAGUCACACUGGAACUGAGACACGGUCCAGACUCCUACGGGAGGCAGCAGUGGGGAAUAUUGGACAAUGGGCGAAAGCCUGAUCCAGCCAUGCCGCGUGUGUGAAGAAGGUCUUCGGAUUGUAAAGCACUUUAAGUUGGGAGGAAGGGCAGUAAGUUAAUACCUUGCUGUUUUGACGUUACCAACAGAAUAAGCACCGGCUAACUUCGUG
RNAcentral lists this ribosomal RNA (484 nucleotides) under uncultured bacterium. RNAcentral's name for it is "partial 16S ribosomal RNA". It matches the Rfam family "Bacterial small subunit ribosomal RNA", at positions 30 to 507 of the family's 1533-position model. The record is from RNAcentral.